GACAAGUUUCUUCCAACAACAUAUUUAUUAAAAACUAUUCAAUUGAUGGAAACAUAAAUAGAGGGACUUUAGUAUAUAAUAAUGUGAUCAAUCCAUUUUAUAUAUGUUACAUAAAAAGUGCGAUGUGCAAGUACUAACGAGUGUUAUACAACAUUUAAGUUUGCUCCUCGAGGAAGUAUGAGGUGCCUUGAAGGUUAUUGUAAACACCUCAAAAAUUUUAAGGCUAAACAUAGUGAAAAGAGAAACAGAU
Medicago truncatula (barrel medic) is the source of this 250-nucleotide long non-coding RNA. RefSeq lists it as uncharacterized. The record is from RefSeq and is a predicted model, not a curated record. The transcript is spliced from 3 exons. NCBI's taxonomy places the organism in Eukaryota, Viridiplantae, Streptophyta, Magnoliopsida, Fabales, Fabaceae.